This 276-nucleotide ribosomal RNA is filed under the name uncultured bacterium. Its description in RNAcentral is "partial 16S ribosomal RNA". It matches the Rfam family "Bacterial small subunit ribosomal RNA", at positions 28 to 300 of the family's 1533-position model. The record is from RNAcentral.
GGCGAACGCUGGCGGCGUGCUUAACACAUGCAAGUCGAGCGGUAAGGCCCUUUCGGGGUACGACGAGCGGCGAACGGGUGAGUAACACGUGGGUGACCUCGCCCUCAGCUCUGGGAGUAAGCCUGGGGAAACUGGGUCUAAUACCGGAUAUGACUCCAUGACGCAUGUUGGUGGGGUAGGAAAGCCUUGUGCGGCUGAGGAUGGGCCCGCGGCCUAUCAGCUUGUUGGUGGGGUGANGGCCUACCAAGGCGACGACGGGUAGCCGGCCUGAGAGGG